Canis lupus familiaris (dog) is the source of this 548-nucleotide long non-coding RNA. RefSeq lists it as uncharacterized. The record is from RefSeq and is a predicted model, not a curated record. The transcript has 5 exons. Lineage: Eukaryota; Metazoa; Chordata; Mammalia; Carnivora; Canidae.
AUUCCAACACUGAGAAAACUGACUCUAACCAUCUGUUACUCCUUAGCUGAAUUGUUCAAGUAUUACGUGUGUAGCAGUAUUAGAAUCAUGGACCUAUUACUACCCGUGGGAAACAACUUUAUAACCUAAGGUUGUGUUUACAUCAAAAACCUUGAAGAUUGAGGUAAUGUUUCUCCCAGAAGAAGAACCAAGCUUGCUUUGGAAAGAGCAUUACAAAAGAGUGUUUUUGAAAGAGUGUUAACAAAUUCAGUGUUUCUCAGAUGUGAUGCUGUACAUUACGUGCAAUAAUCAUCUACUUUCUGCAUCAUUCCUCCUGGACUUGAGUGAUGACAAGAAUGUCAAAGAUAAAUGAUUUCUCAGUAUCGAAGUUGAAGGAGAAGUAUCAAUCACUAUGCAGAUAAGUUGAAAUAGAUUAAUGGAAUCCCUCCUGCAGUUAUGUACUCCAUCUAUAUUGAAAAGGAUUUCGGGUUUAUGUAAAUUUGGGACUGAAUAUCUUCUAACAUACAGAGCUUAAUAUACUCAGAAACAAGAGGAACACCCUCUAGAAC